CGAAAGGGGCGUGGGCGCGAGGGGCGGCAGGCUAGUAACCAUAGCGGCGCGCGUGGGUCGGCGGGCAAGUAACCGUAGCGGCGCGCGUGGGGCGGAGUGUGGCUUGGUAGUCCUCUGCGUUCCCUCCUGGGAGCUGGGUGCUGUAAGUCCUCCCUUAGCGGGCUGCUCUCGGCGCGGAGUCGGCGCCGAACCCGAGCUGCUGCUCUGGGGCGUGUGCCUAGGGCGCAGGGUUGGAGCGCAGGGGCUGCGCGGUUGCUCGCGGCUCCGCUGAGGUCUCUAGGAAAGGGGGCGAUUUGAGGGUUCUGCCGUGACCGCUCCCAGCGGCGGAGACGCGCGCUCUGGACCAGAACCGUUGCCCGCUGUCUCGUCACCCGAAGCCGCCUCCUGACGCCGUGCUAGUGCGAGGGUCUCCAGGGGAAUUCGGGGCACAAGUCGGGCCGGAGCAUCAGGGCGGCCGUGGCGCGAAGACGCAGGAUCGGCGCUUUGAGAACUGAGCGCAUGUGGAGUUCGGAGGAAAAGGGCGCAGAUCGAAGAUGGAAAAUCCCCAAGACAUUUUCUCAAGUAAUGGUGGCUGUCUAAUUGAUAUAGUUAUAGAAAAAUACCUGGUUGAAUCCAAGGAGUCUGUGUCUCAUGUUCAGCUUGCUUGCAGCAUGCAGGACUGUGCUUUCCCUUUGGAUGGGACUGAACUUUGUAUAUGGAACACUGAGGAUCCUUCUCAUCAGCUUCUAAUCCUACGAGGACACCAUCAGCCAAUUACUGCUAUGGCUUUUGGAAAUAAAGUGAACCCACUUCUAAUCUGCUCAGCAUCACUGGAUUAUGUUAUAAUGUGGAAUCUGGAGGAAUGUAGAGAGAAAGUACUUCAAGGGCUGGUCCCUCGAGGGACUGUCAUGGGCUCGCUUUUGGGAAAGGUGCUGUGUUUACAGUUGAGCCCGGAUGAUCAUGUUGUUGCCGUGUGUGCUGGAAACAAAAUAUUCAUGCUGGAUAUUGAGACUCAGGCUGUCCAGGCCAAGCUGCACGGCCACCUGGGCCCGGUGACUGCGGUGGAGUUCUGUCCCUGGCGAGCAGGCAUCCUCAUCUCAGUGUCCGAGGACAGAGGCUUUAAGGUCUGGGACCAUUGUACAGGAUCAUUAAUAUACAGUUCAUCUGUGUUAUCAGCAUAUCCUCUUCUCAGCUUAUUCAUUGAUGCAGAAAGCAGGCAGCUGGUCACUGGAUGUGCUGACGGCCAGCUUUGGAUCUUCAGUUUGAUGGAUGGACACCAUUAUCGUCGUGUGGCACGGGUUGACCUAAGGAAGAAGACAGAGACGUUCUCCACAAGAAGGGUUAAGUCUGGGCUGUGCAGCCAGCCAGAAGAAAGCCAUCUUCCCUCUACAAGUGCUCUGGGAAAAGGAGAGCAGGUUGAAGUAACAUUUCCUGUACUGAGACUUGCACCCUGUGAUCUGUCACUCAUCCCAAAUUCUGCAUGUGGAUGUCUUUCUUCUGAGAACACCCAAUGUGUAUGGAUCGGAAGCUCAGUGGGCUUAUUCGUAUUUAACCUGGCAAACCUGGAAGUGGAAGCUGCUUUGUAUUACAAAGAUUUCCAGAGCCUCAGCAUCCUGCUGGCCGGAUCGUGUGCCCUGAGGAACCGCACUGCGGAUCGAAAGGCGCUGUGCUUGCUGGCCUCCCUCUUUGGCGGGAAGAUUGCCGUGUUGGAGAUCAACCCGGCCGCGCUGGUCAGGGCUCAGCAGUGCCACAGCGUGGGGCAGAGCCUCUCGGUGCCAGCCAGCUUCUGUGUCCUACCGACCUCUCCACUGUAUCUGGGAAUUGCCAAGGAGAAGAGUACCAAGGCUGCUAGUCAACAGCGAUGUGCUGCACGGAACGUCAUGAAGGACCAACGCCUGGUUUUCCAUAGUAAAGUUAGGUCGUCUGGUUAUGCGUCAGCACCACAUGUGACUAUGUUUUCACCAAAGACCAACAUCAAGAGUGAGGGGAAAGGAUCUUUAAGACGCAGGAGCCGCUGCGCAUGGGAGGCAUACCCCGUGGAGUGCGCUGUGCCCACCAAGCCCGGCCCCCAGGUCACCGCCGCCCCCACCUGCGCACGCGUGUGCUGCAUCCAGUACUCAGGAGAUGGGCAGUGGCUGGCUUGUGGGUUGGCCAACCAUCUGUCACUCGUUUUUGAUGCCAGCCUGACUGGGACACCUGCUGUGUUUUCAGGUCACGACGGGGCAGUGAACGCCGUGUGCUGGAGCCAGGACCGGAGGUGGCUGCUUUCUGCGGCCCAGGACGGGACCCUGCGGGUGUGGUCGGCUCGUGGGGCAGAGCUCGCACUGCUUCUGGGCAAAGACAUGUUUUCUAAACCUAUACAGUCUGCACAGUUUUAUUAUAUAGAUGCCUUUAUAUUGUUAUCUUCUGGCCCUGAAUUUCAGCUACUGAAGUAUCACAUCGACACUUGCAAAGAUGAGAUUAAGAGAUAUAAACAGAAGAGCAAGUCCAAGCUGAUUUGCAGGCUCUCCAUGACGGGUGCAGUAGACAUGACCAGUUUAUCGGCAGUCAAUGACUUUUAUUCCCACAUCGUACUCACAGCUGGCCGGAACAGGACCGUGGAAGUGUUCGACCUCAACGCUGGCUGCAGUGCAGCAGUGAUAGCGGAAGCCCACUCGCGGCCUGUCCAUCAAAUCUGCCAAAAUAAAGGUUCAUCAUUUACAACCCAACAGCCUCAGGCUUAUAACCUUUUCCUGACCACGGCCAUUGGCGAUGGGAUGAGACUGUGGGACCUGAGAACCCUGAGGUGUGAGCGCCACUUUGAAGGGCAUCCAACCCGUGGCUAUCCAUGUGGAAUCGCUUUCAGUCCUUGUGGACGAUUCGCGGCUUGUGGGGCUGAGGACAGACACGCUUACGUGUAUGAAAUGGGUUCAAGCACGUACUCUCACCGGCUGGCUGGGCACACAGACACCGUCACUGGAGUGGCCUUCAACCCAUCGGCGCCCCAGCAAUUCUCCUCCUGCCAUCAUGUGAAGAAGGACAUGUUUGCUUUCCCUUCUGCCAUGAUAGAAAGUUUCCUGAGGCCUCCCCAGCACUGCAGAACUGUGAGUCAGCUUGCCACAGCUACCUUGGAUGGUAAACUCCAGCUCUUUCUAGCUGAGUAACCACUGACCUGUGAGCUGGGUCCAGGAAUGCUGUGAGGAACAACUUAAAAAUGACCUGGACAUUCUGAAGUUGCAUUAAUAGCAAGUUUAUAUUCCUAAUAUAAGUACAUCUCCUCCGAGUCUUGGAAAAUGGGAUCAACUUAACUGUCUCCACAUGUAUGCUCUGGGGAGCCCGGGACUCACUGAACCCCAGUUACAAAACCUACAGCAAAUUUUUGUCCAGAUCACUAUCCAUCCAGCUUGCCGUGUUCUGGAGGAAGAUGUUUUGUUUUAUAGUUUGUGCUAUAGUCAUGAGAACAAGCAGCUUGUGUUCUAUUUCUUCUUACUUUUUGAAGCAAGUGUGCUGGGUACUGUUCAUGCUGAUCAGCCCUAGGCCUUGGGGGCCGUGCCCUUGCAGCGACUCUGAAGCCACCGCCCAGCCUUGUGCCUGGGAGACCAGGGAGGCUGGGGAGGGAGGCCGAGGAAGCUGACUGCACGGCAGCUGAGGUCACAGCUGCUUGUGGAGAGAAGCUUCAAGUUGACAUCACUGUGAGCUAAAACUGUGGCUACCCUCUGGAUAACAAAGCAAGCUAUUGGCAGGAAGAAAGGGAAAAUUACGAAAAUUAAACAAGGCAAGCAUUAAUGCCAUAUUGCCUUUUCUCUGAAAUGCAAGAUUUGGCAAAGCCAAUUUCCACAUUUGGCCGUGGCCUCUCAGGCUUCUGUGCCAUCCCCGUGGAACGUGGCGCUGAUCCUGGGUCUCCCCUCUCCAGCCCUGGCUUUGUCCACUUUGCCCCUCCUGGGCUCCGCCUUGCCCUUCUCCUGCGGCUGCCAUGCCCGUCCUGAACUCAGCUCCUCUCUGACCCCCACGCACAGCUCCUCUCUGACCCCACGCACGGCUCCUCUCUGACCCCACGCACGGCUCCUCUCUGACCCCAUGCACGGCUCCUUUUUGACCCACAUCCGCGGCGGCGUCCAGCCUCGGCUGCUCUCACUGCAGCCGUUUCUUCACAGGGUGAACUUCGCAGAAACACUCAAAGCCGUCUGUUAUGUACAAAGGACCGCGUGUCUGUAAUCUAUAGCCAUUUACCAGUUACCAAGAAAACAUGGAUGUUUCCACUAAAAAUCACAAACGUUUCUUUCAAGCGAGGAGCGCCCUGCGCCAGAGGCUGUGGGAGGAGUGAGGAGUCUGGGUUCGUUCCAGCCGCACAGGCAGAAGUACUCAUCUGGUGUCUACCCAAUGUGGAUAGAUGGUGGUGUUCCAUGCAGUCGAUUUUCCUCAGCAACACCAAGGAGCAAACCGCUGAUCCUAGCAGAGACACGCUGGAUCUCAGGACCGCUACGCUGAGUGGAAGACACCAGAUGGAAAAGGGUGCAUGCUCUGUGACCCAGACUCUGUGAAGUCUCUAGACUCACUCAAACCACCUCUGACUAGAGAAGCCAGACCCAAUGUACUCUGGGGCUUGCCUGGAUGGGGCAGAGAUGUUCUGUGGGGUGAUGGGUGAGCUCUGUCAUCCCAGGGGGCUCCCUGAGCCCAUGCCACUGUAUGUGAAUGAUAUCUCAAUACAUUUCCCUUAAACGGGAGAGGCACAGCCUGUCUGCACAUUUCCAGCAAUGGUGGUGGGGUGAGGGCUGUGACAGGUAGCUCAACUGUAGAACUGUGGCCUCACUCCUGUGCAAUUCCGUUCAUUUACUCAUUCAACAAUAUCUUUUGAGCAGCCACUGAGUUCCAGGCUCAGUCUGGCACUUGGGAAGCAGCAGUGAACAAAGCAAUGAAACCCGGAGCUGGCAUUCCCACAAGUCUAGAGGCGGCUUCCUCCAGGGCUCCCUGCUGCCUGGGGCUGCAGCCUCCUCUCUCCAGGAGAUCUGGCAGCACCAAAGCUCCCCGCUGGCAGCUGUCGGACUCCUUCAUGCAGAGCAGAGCGGUGCCCAUGACGCUGUUCCUCCCCAGUCUUCAUAAUGAUGUUGUAGUUUCCUUAAAGUCCUAGACUCAAAAGCGGGAAAGGGUCAGAGGCCAUAGCUCUAAUUUCAUUGGUAUAAUUGCAAAAGAAUAGAUUUUGGUGAGUGUGACUUCUGGAAGAAAGGUAAUAAAUU
RNA transcript from Pongo pygmaeus (Bornean orangutan), 5192 nucleotides. It is a transcript of the gene named WD repeat domain 27, with no coding region annotated. The transcript is spliced from 28 exons. NCBI's taxonomy places the organism in Eukaryota, Metazoa, Chordata, Mammalia, Primates, Hominidae. The record is from RefSeq and is a predicted model, not a curated record.